RNAcentral lists this ribosomal RNA (434 nucleotides) under uncultured bacterium. RNAcentral's name for it is "partial 16S ribosomal RNA". It matches the Rfam family "Bacterial small subunit ribosomal RNA", at positions 29 to 507 of the family's 1533-position model. The record is from RNAcentral.
AGCGAACGCUGGCGGCAGGCCUAACACAUGCAAGUCGAACGAACCUUUCGGGGUUAGUGGCGGACGGGUGAGUAACACGUGGGAACGUGCCUUUAGGUUCGGAAUAACUCAGGGAAACUUGUGCUAAUACCGAAUGUGCCCUUCGGGGGAAAGAUUUAUCGCCUUUAGAGCGGCCCGCGUCUGAUUAGCUAGUUGGUUGAGGUAAUGGCUCACCAAGGCGACGAUCAGUAGCUGGUCUGAGAGGAUGAUCAGCCACAUUGGGACUGAGACACGGCCCAAACUCCUACGGGAGGCAGCAGUGGGGAAUCUUGCGCAAUGGGCGAAAGCCUGACGCAGCCAUGCCGCGUGAAUGAUGAAGGUCUUAGGAUUGUCAAAUUCUUUCACCGGGGACGAUAAUGACGGUACCCAGAGAAGAAGCCCCGGCUAACUUCGUG